CUUUUUAAUUUUUUUUCAAAAUAUAAUUAAUUUUGAAUAAAAUAAUGGAUAAAGGUAGAUGGAGAAAGUUCACCGGAAAAACAAAAAAAGUAGAUGGAGAAAAUUUUUUUCGCUCGUACUUCACUCUUCUUCCUCUGGGAGAGCCACUCAGCAGUCAGCCUCAUCUCUACCUCACCCGAUCUAGGUACGACUCCCUCCAAAUCUUACUUCCUUGCAAAAUUACGUAACACGAAUAGUUCAUUUCUUGGUCACCCAGUUGAUGUUCUAGCUGCAAGAUGGAUAAGCGCUCUUCUGUGGUAGGUUGUGCGGAGU
RNAcentral lists this unclassified non-coding RNA (312 nucleotides) under Hevea brasiliensis (rubber tree). The record is from RNAcentral. Lineage: Eukaryota; Viridiplantae; Streptophyta; Magnoliopsida; Malpighiales; Euphorbiaceae.